CCUCUGGAGGUUAAAGAAGCUGACUGCCAGCACUUCGACGCCGGAGUGUUUUACCUGCUUGGAAUUGUUUACUCCUCGAGACGAUUUGGAUUCUCCAGAGUGGCUUCCAUCCUGGCCUUUUGGUUAAAGCCCUCCUCGUGACGCCGUGGACGGUACCCACUGGUUGCCCGAGUCCCGUUUUCACCUCUCCCAUCAGAUCUCAAGAUUCUCAGUUGACAUUGGCUGGCAGUCGGACCUCACCUCCACCUCCGUCAAGUCAUCACUUUCCUGCCCGCCCUCCACCGCAGCCUCCUUGCCUAGGAUCCCGCUCGUUUAUGGAAGCCGGAUCCGUUGACUUCAGCCUGGAACCCACAGACUACCUCCCUGAUUGUGAUCAUUCUUUCCCAAACUCCACCCCAGGAUCCCCACCAUAUCACAUUACUUUGUUUUCUUCAA
Molecule: long non-coding RNA, 435 nt
Organism: Xiphophorus hellerii (green swordtail)
Lineage: Eukaryota; Metazoa; Chordata; Actinopteri; Cyprinodontiformes; Poeciliidae
Exons: 3
Source: RefSeq, a predicted model, not a curated record